Molecule: ribosomal RNA, 492 nt
Filed under: uncultured bacterium
Lineage: Bacteria
Description: partial 16S ribosomal RNA
Rfam family: Bacterial small subunit ribosomal RNA
Source: RNAcentral
AGUGAACGCUGGCGGUAGGCCUAACACAUGCAAGUCGAACGGCAGCACAGUAAGAGCUUGCUCUUACGGGUGGCGAGUGGCGGACGGGUGAGGAAUACAUCGGAAUCUACUUUUUCGUGGGGGAUAACGUAGGGAAACUUACGCUAAUACCGCAUACGACCUACGGGUGAAAUCAGGGGAUCUUCGGACCUUGCGCGAUUGAAUGAGCCGAUGUCGGAUUAGCUAGUUGGCGGGGUAAAGGCCCACCAAGGCGACGAUCCGUAGCUGGUCUGAGAGGAUGAUCAGCCACACUGGAACUGAGACACGGUCCAGACUCCUACGGGAGGCAGCAGUGGGGAAUAUUGGACAAUGGGCGCAAGCCUGAUCCAGCCAUACCGCGUGGGUGAAGAAGGCCUUCGGGUUGUAAAGCCCUUUUGUUGGGAAAGAAAAGCAGCAGGUUAAUACCCCGCUGUUCUGACGGUACCAAAAGAAUAAGCACCGGCUAACUUCGUG